GGGUUGUGAGGUUAAGCGACCAAGCGUACACGGUGGAUGCCCUGGCAGUCAGAGGCGAUGAAGGACGUGCUAAUCUGCGAUAAGCGCCGGUAAGGUGAUAUGAACCGUUAUAACCGGCGAUUUCCGAAUGGGGAAACCCAGUGUGAUUCGUCACACUAUCAUUAACUGAAUCCAUAGGUUAAUGAAGCGAACCGGGGGAACUGAAACAUCUAAGUACCCCGAGGAAAAGAAAUCAACCGAGAUUCCCCCAGUAGCGGCGAGCGAACGGGGAGGAGCCCAGAGCCUGAAUCAGCAUGUGUGUUAGUGGAAGCGUCUGGAAAGGCGCGCGAUACAGGGUGACAGCCCCGUACACAAAAGCGCAUAUGCUGUGAGCUCGAUGAGUAGGGCGGGACACGUGGUAUCCUGUCUGAAUAUGGGGGGACCAUCCUCCAAGGCUAAAUACUCCUGACUGACCGAUAGUGAACCAGUACCGUGAGGGAAAGGCGAAAAGAACCCCGGCGAGGGGAGUGAAACAGAACCUGAAACCGUGUACGUACAAGCAGUGGGAGCCCCACCACUAAGCCAGUGGUGAACUCCACAUACGCAUCCUUUGUUGAAGAUGCGGUUAACGGAGCGCAAGCGACGUUCAACCUCAAAAGAAGCAGAGGGGGCUUAGUGGUGGGGUGACUGCGUACCUUUUGUAUAAUGGGUCAGCGACUUAUAUUCUGUAGCAAGGUUAACCGCAUAGGGGAGCCGAAGGGAAACCGAGUCUUAAUUGGGCGUUAAGUUGCAGGGUAUAGACCCGAAACCCGGUGAUCUAGCCAUGGGCAGGUUGAAGGUUGGGUAACACUAACUGGAGGACCGAACCGACUAAUGUUGAAAAAUUAGCGGAUGACCUGUGGCUGGGGGUGAAAGGCCAAUCAAACCGGGAGAUAGCUGGUUCUCCCCGAAAGCUAUUUAGGUAGCGCCUCGUGAAUUCAUCUCCGGGGGUAGAGCACUGUUUCGGCUAGGGGGCCAUCCCGGCUUACCAACCCGAUGCAAACUGCGAAUACCGGAGAAUGUUAUCACGGGAGACACACGGCGGGUGCUAACGUCCGUCGUGAAGAGGGAAACAACCCAGACCGCCAGCUAAGGUCCCAAAGUCAUGGUUAAGUGGGAAACGAUGUGGGAAGGCCCAGACAGCCAGGAUGUUGGCUUAGAAGCAGCCAUCAUUUAAAGAAAGCGUAAUAGCUCACUGGUCGAGUCGGCCUGCGCGGAAGAUGUAACGGGGCUAAACCAUGCACCGAAGCUGCGGCAGCGAACGUAUCACUUAAAACGAUUCAGAAGCUUACGAUUGACGGAGCGAAGCGACGUCAAAGCGUAUACAAAGUCGAGUCGGUUUAAGGAUACGUUCGUUGGGUAGGGGAGCGUUCUGUAAGCCGUUGAAGGUGGCCUGUGAGGGUUGCUGGAGGUAUCAGAAGUGCGAAUGCUGACAUAAGUAACGAUAAAGCGGGUGAAAAGCCCGCUCGCCGGAAGACCAAGGGUUCCUGUCCAACGUUAAUCGGGGCAGGGUGAGUCGACCCCUAAGGCGAGGCCGAAAGGCGUAGUCGAUGGGAAACGGGUUAAUAUUCCCGUACUUGGUGUUACUGCGAAGGGGGGACGGAGAAGGCUAUGUUGGCCGGGCGACGGUUGUCCCGGUUUAAGCGUGUAGGCUGACUUUCCAGGCAAAUCCGGAGAGUCAAGGCUGAGGCGUGACGACGAGGCACCACGGUGCUGAAGCAACAAAUGCCCUGCUUCCAGGAAAAGCCUCUAAGCAUCAGGUAACAUCAAAUCGUACCCCAAACCGACACAGGUGGUCAGGUAGAGAAUACCAAGGCGCUUGAGAGAACUCGGGUGAAGGAACUAGGCAAAAUGGUGCCGUAACUUCGGGAGAAGGCACGCUGACAUGUAGGUGAAGUGGUUUACCCAUGGAGCUGAAGUCAGUCGAAGAUACCAGCUGGCUGCAACUGUUUAUUAAAAACACAGCACUGUGCAAACACGAAAGUGGACGUAUACGGUGUGACGCCUGCCCGGUGCCGGAAGGUUAAUUGAUGGGGUCAGCGCAAGCGAAGCUCCUGAUCGAAGCCCCGGUAAACGGCGGCCGUAACUAUAACGGUCCUAAGGUAGCGAAAUUCCUUGUCGGGUAAGUUCCGACCUGCACGAAUGGCGUAAUGAUGGCCAGGCUGUCUCCACCCGAGACUCAGUGAAAUUGAACUCGCUGUGAAGAUGCAGUGUACCCGCGGCAAGACGGAAAGACCCCGUGAACCUUUACUAUAGCUUGACACUGAACAUUGAGCCUUGAUGUGUAGGAUAGGUGGGAGGCUUUGAAGCGUGGACGCCAGUCUGCGUGGAGCCGGCCUUGAAAUACCACCCUUUAAUGUUUGAUGUUCUAACGUGGACCCGUGAUCCGGGUUGCGGACAGUGUCUGGUGGGUAGUUUGACUGGGGCGGUCUCCUCCUAAAGAGUAACGGAGGAGCACGAAGGUUGGCUAAUCCUGGUCGGACAUCAGGAGGUUAGUGCAAUGGCAUAAGCCAGCUUGACUGCGAGCGUGACGGCGCGAGCAGGUGCGAAAGCAGGUCAUAGUGAUCCGGUGGUUCUGAAUGGAAGGGCCAUCGCUCAACGGAUAAAAGGUACUCCGGGGAUAACAGGCUGAUACCGCCCAAGAGUUCAUAUCGACGGCGGUGUUUGGCACCUCGAUGUCGGCUCAUCACAUCCUGGGGCUGAAGUAGGUCCCAAGGGUAUGGCUGUUCGCCAUUUAAAGUGGUACGCGAGCUGGGUUUAGAACGUCGUGAGACAGUUCGGUCCCUAUCUGCCGUGGGCGCUGGAGAACUGAGGGGGGCUGCUCCUAGUACGAGAGGACCGGAGUGGACGCAUCACUGGUGUUCGGGUUGUCAUGCCAAUGGCACUGCCCGGUAGCUAAAUGCGGAAGAGAUAAGUGCUGAAAGCAUCUAAGCACGAAACUUGCCCCGAGAUGAGUUCUCCCUGAGACUUUGAGUCUCCUGAAGGAACGUUGAAGACGACGACGUUGAUAGGCCGGGUGUGUAAGCGCAGCGAUGCGUUGAGCUAACCGGUACUAAUGAACCGUGAGGCUUAACCUUACAACGCCGAAGCUGUU
RNAcentral lists this ribosomal RNA (3112 nucleotides) under Salmonella enterica subsp. enterica. RNAcentral's name for it is "bacterial LSU rRNA". It matches the Rfam family "Bacterial large subunit ribosomal RNA". RNAcentral also lists the same sequence under 1 other name. The record is from RNAcentral. Lineage: Bacteria; Pseudomonadati; Pseudomonadota; Gammaproteobacteria; Enterobacterales; Enterobacteriaceae.